RNAcentral lists this ribosomal RNA (273 nucleotides) under Oligobrachia sp. ovs1. Its description in RNAcentral is "partial large subunit ribosomal RNA". It matches the Rfam family "Eukaryotic large subunit ribosomal RNA", at positions 76 to 341 of the family's 3401-position model. RNAcentral also lists the same sequence under 1 other name. Lineage: Eukaryota; Metazoa; Annelida; Polychaeta; Sabellida; Siboglinidae. The record is from RNAcentral.
UCCCUCAGUAACGGCGAGUGAAGAGGGACGAGCCCAGCACCGAAUCCCCUGUUCGAGAGGGCAGCGGGAACUGUGGUGUAUAGGACAGCCUCUGCGGCGUCGAUCGGUCGUCUAAGUCUCCCUGAUCGGGGCUUUACCCAUAGCGGGUGUUAGGCCUGUACGGCCGCCGGUCGCGUCGCUCUGUGCAUCCUGGGAGUCGGGUUGUUUGUGAAUGCAGCCCAAAGAGGGUGGUAAACUCCAUCUAAGGCUAAAUACCGACACGAGUCCGAUAGC